This 1123-nucleotide long non-coding RNA is filed under the name Crocodylus porosus (Australian saltwater crocodile). RNAcentral's name for it is "lncRNA (ENSCPRG00005013019.1)". The record is from RNAcentral. Lineage: Eukaryota; Metazoa; Chordata; Crocodylia; Crocodylidae.
GAUAUAUAGAGGGGCUGGAGUGGAUGAUUGGAGGUGUGAGGGGAGAAGGCUUGUGAGUAAUGUAGGAGAGUUUGCAGAGAGCCCUGUGGAGACAUUUAAUGGCAGUGUCAGGGUAGGGUGAUGAUGAGGCCUGAGCUGGGUGUGUGUCCUGGGACAGGAGACUUGUGCACGGGGUGGCUUCUGACCUGGGCAGGAAUUUAGGGUGGGAAGCUCAAGUGUACCAAGUUCUUGUGCCUGAAAGUCUCCCAGUAGCACUGAUUCCUGGCUCUUGUGUUCUGACAGCAACCCUAAAAUGCAGUCAUUGAUGCUCAGGGCUUGAAUCUGUCCCAGCUCUCCACCCUCUUUUGCAUCCUGCCAGUUUCUCUAAUAUAGCCCUCUUUCCUCUCCUCAGGCCCACACUCUGCUUCCUUCUGCUCUUCCCCAGCCCCACUCCCUCCCACCCUCACAAAGUUUUAGUCUACCUCUCUUGGCCCCAUUAGUACUGCAGAGCACACCAUGACCGUCAAAGAGAAGGGAGAAUUGGGAGGGGAGGGUAAGAGACAGCAACUGGACACAGAAGGCCAUGGAGGAUCUUGGCACAGGAAUUCAAUGGACAAAGCAUAGGUGUACCCCAUCGCCACUGAUGUCCUCUGCCAUGCUGCAGACCCACCUUGGCCACCAGUAGAGGACUCUCAUUGGAGCAGGCACAGGAGGAAGUGCGUCUGGUGCCAACUCAGUAGCCUUGGCCCGAGCUGCUGCUUGAGGAACCCCAAUCACUGGGUAAGCUCGUGGAAGAGCGAGGAAUCUUGGCUGACCUGCAGAGCCCCUCAUGCCACUGACCAGCUUCAGACAUCAGAGCUACAGCGUGCAAAUAUAUCUGAGAGGAAAGGAGGUCCGGCCCAUUGGUUAAUGUGCAAGUGCUGCGCAGCGUGGGACAAAUAACAGGUAAGCAGAAGCUUAAAGAAAAGCUGGUGAUGAAAUCCCACUGCUGUGCAUCAGUGUAUCCUUGAAUUGCUUUAGUCUGAGAGGUAAAUCAAAAAACUACAUCCCCGAGAUUAAGAAUAAUUCUAUCUUUCUGAGAGUAAUGAGAAUUUGCACUAAUUUGCACUUAUUUACACAAUAAACAAUAAUACACACUAAUACA